Molecule: non-coding RNA, 1741 nt
Organism: Dermatophagoides farinae (American house dust mite)
Lineage: Eukaryota; Metazoa; Arthropoda; Arachnida; Sarcoptiformes; Pyroglyphidae
Source: RefSeq, a predicted model, not a curated record
UCUUCCUUACUCUAUUCUAUACAGCCUCUUUUGAUUCAAAUAUUAAUAGAAUCAUCAAUCGAAUUUUCGAGUAGUUUUAAGGCGGAGAAAUGUCGAAUUUUUGUCCUCAUCUAAUUUAUCGAAUCAUUAACUAUCCAGAAUGCUUAAAGGCACGUUCAUCAGAAAAUAAAAAUCAAAUUAAUCGACUUGAUUUCACAUAUACUAAAUGGCUAUUUCGUGAUUUACAUGAUGAUUGUGGUUGUUUUACAUUAUUAUCAAUCACACACACACACACACCAUAACCGUUGCAUAUUAUUUUUCCAGUAUUCUGAAAAAUCAAUUUAAAACGGACGCCACCUCAUAAAAUUACCGAUUAAAAUCCAGAAAAAAAACAAAAAAUUAAAGGGUUGAAAUAAAUUAACAUAACAGCUGUGUUUAUACGAUGAAAGUAUAUCCAGAAAUUUUUUCGUUUACGGUUAAAAAAAAGUAGUGGUAUAGUUUUUUUUUCCCCAUCAAAUAAACAGUUGAUUAUUAGUCGUUUUUUUUAUUCAUUCUUUACAUUCUUGUAUUACAAAAUAUAUAUAUUCGUCGUUGUGUAUAAACAUAGUCAUUAGGGAAUUUAUUUUUUUUUUUGUCUUGCUUUUAACAUCAUUUCGGAUGAAUGGGAUAAAACAAAAUCCUCAUCAAAAUCAUUUUGUUGGGGGGAUUAAAUCGACUCAUCGGUAUAUGUGUGUGUGUGUGUGUGUGAAUGCGCAUAUAAAAUCCAUAAGCAAUGUAUGCAAUCUUGUGUUUGUGUUCAAAAAAAAAAGUAAUAAAUAGAAUUGACAACAAAAAAAAAAAAAAAACCUGAAUGAAUUAACUUGAAUGUCAGCUGAUUAUUUACAAUUACCAACUGAAAAUGUGUGUGUAUUUUUCAUUUGUUUGAUGUUCAUCAAACAAACAAACAAAAAAAAAAUACCAAUACUUUGUGUUUGAAAUUUCCAUAAUCAGAAAACAAAAUAUUAACGUCAACAUAGUAAAGACCAAAAAAUCUAUCAUCAUCAUCAUCAUCAUCAUCGCAUCUAUCACUAUUUUCAAGCAAUAAAUAAAAAAUAAAACUAAAGUCAAUGUAAUAAUAUAUAUUGUGAAUUAUUUGCAAGCUCAUUCUUCACUUCUACAUUCAUUCAUUCAUUCAUUUUUCAUUUUUAUUCAUCGUCAUCAUAUAUACAAAAGCCCUAUAGGCGACAAAUUGAUGAAAAACAACAACAACAGCAGCAGCAGCAGCGACAACCACCAAUAGUUCAUUGAAAACAUAAAUUUUCAUUUUUUUUCUCGAUUUGUUUUUCCAUCUCUUUCUCUAUCACAAAAACAAAUCUGUAUGUGUGUGUGUGUGUUAUAUACUUGAAAGAAUUGAAUGCAAAAAAAAACUUCAAGAAUCAAGAACAGAAUCUUAUGAGCAGAACAUUUUUUUUUGUCAUUACAAUUUUUUUUUUUGCAUAAGUGUGCAGAUAUUUUAUUAAUAGAACGUCAUCAUCAACAUCAGCUUGCCUCUCAAACCUCUCAGCGUAUUGUUAUCAUUGUUAGACGUUGUACAAAAACAGAGGGAAAGAAAAAUUUUUUUUUUCUCUCUCAAAACCAUCAUCACUAGACGACAACAUUCCAUCAUAGAGGAGAAUAUUCUUCAUUAUUUUUAUUCAUUUUUUUCGUCGUCUUCUUCUUCCGUUUAAAAGAAUCUGUUUCAAUCAUUUAUGUUUUAUAAUUGUGAAAAACAAGUGAAGAAAAA